Molecule: transfer RNA, 78 nt
Filed under: Nitrospiraceae bacterium
Lineage: Bacteria; Pseudomonadati; Nitrospirota; Nitrospiria; Nitrospirales; Nitrospiraceae
Description: tRNA-Arg
Rfam family: tRNA (bases 6-70)
About the family: Transfer RNA (tRNA) molecules are approximately 80 nucleotides in length.
Source: RNAcentral
GCANNCCGUAGCUCAGCUGGAUAGAGCGUUGGCCUCCGAAGCCAAAGGCCGCGCGUUCGAAUCGCGCCGGGCGCACCA